GCACUGCUGAAGAGUCCCACAAUAGGACGAAACGGCCGUCCAAUGU
Non-coding RNA from Schistosoma mattheei, 46 nucleotides. NCBI's taxonomy places the organism in Eukaryota, Metazoa, Platyhelminthes, Trematoda, Strigeidida, Schistosomatidae. The record is from Rfam.